AGCGAACGCUGGCGGCAGGCUUAACACAUGCAAGUCGAACGCCCCGCAAGGGGAGUGGCAGACGGGUGAGUAACACGUGGGAACGUACCCUUUGGUUCGGAAUAACUUGGGGAAACUCAAGCUAAUACCGGAUACGCCCUUAUGGGGAAAGGUUUACUGCCGAAGGAUCGGCCCGCGUCUGAUUAGGUGGUGGGUGGGGUAAGUGCUCACCAAGGCGACGGACAGUAGCUGGUCUGAGCGGAUGAUCAGCCACACUGGGACUGAGACAGGGCCCAGAGUACUACGGGGGGCAGCAGUGGAGAAUAUAGGAAAAUGAGGGCAACCCUGAUCCAGCCAUGCCGCGUGAGUGAGGCAGGGCUUAGGAUUGUAAAGCUCUUUUACCCGGGACGAUAAUGACUGUACCGGGAGAAUAAGCCCCGGCUAACUUCGUGCCAGCCGCCGCCGUAA
This 447-nucleotide ribosomal RNA is filed under the name uncultured bacterium. RNAcentral describes it as "partial 16S ribosomal RNA". It matches the Rfam family "Bacterial small subunit ribosomal RNA", at positions 29 to 523 of the family's 1533-position model. The record is from RNAcentral.